RNAcentral lists this ribosomal RNA (442 nucleotides) under uncultured bacterium. RNAcentral's name for it is "bacterial SSU rRNA". It matches the Rfam family "Bacterial small subunit ribosomal RNA", at positions 958 to 1400 of the family's 1533-position model. The record is from RNAcentral.
AACGCGAAGAACCUUACCUGGGUUUGACAUCCUCGGACCGGUACAGAGAUGUACUUUUCGUAGCAAUACGACCGGGAGACAGGUGCUGCAUGGCUGUCGUCAGCUCGUGUGGUGACAUGUUGGGUUAAGUCCCGCAACGAGCGCAACCCUUGUCUUUAGUUGCCAGCAUUCAGUUGGGCACUCUAAAGAGACUGCCGUGGUUAACACGGAGGAAGGUGGGGAUGACGUCAAGUCCUCAUGGCCUUUAUAUCCAGGGCGACACACGUGAUACAAUGGUCGGUACAGAGGGAUGCGAAGUGGUGACACGGAGCAAAUCUCAAAAAGCCGAUCUCAGUUCGGAUUGGAGUCUGCAAUUCGACUCCAUGAAGUUGGAAUCGCUAGUAAUCGCGGAUCAGCACGCCGCGGUGAAUACGUUCCCGGGCCUUGUACACACCGGUAUCUC